CCCUUAGAUGUUCUGGGCCGCACGCGCGUUACAAUGAAUCGUUCAACAGGUUUUCUUCCUGAGUCGAAAGGCUUGGGUAAUCCUUUAAAUACGGUUCGUGCUAGGGAUAGAUUUUUGCAAUUAUUAAUCUUGAACGAGGAAUAUUUAGUAAACGCAGGUCAUCAGCCUGCAUUGAUUACGUCCCUGCCCUUUGUACACACCGCCCGUCGCUCCUACCGAUUGAAUGAUCCGAUGAAUAUCAUGGAUUGAGGAUGCAAGUAGGUUCGCCUAUCUUCAUCUUCGAGAAGUGAAGUAAAUCUUAUCAUUUAGAGGAAGGAGAAGUCGUAACA
Molecule: ribosomal RNA, 329 nt
Filed under: uncultured eukaryote
Lineage: Eukaryota
Description: partial 18S ribosomal RNA
Rfam family: Eukaryotic small subunit ribosomal RNA
Source: RNAcentral